This 243-nucleotide ribosomal RNA is filed under the name uncultured Actinomycetales bacterium. RNAcentral's name for it is "partial 16S ribosomal RNA". It matches the Rfam family "Bacterial small subunit ribosomal RNA", at positions 88 to 334 of the family's 1533-position model. The record is from RNAcentral. Lineage: Bacteria; Bacillati; Actinomycetota; Actinomycetes; Actinomycetales.
UACUCGAGUGGCGAACGGGUGAGUAACACGUGGGUGAUCUGCCCUGCACUUCGGGAUAAGCCUGGGAAACUGGGUCUAAUACCGGAUAGGAACCGUCUUUAGUGUGGUGGUUGGAAAGUUUUUUCGGUGCAAGAUGAGCUCGCGGCCUAUCAGCUUGUUGGUGGGGUAAUGGCCUACCAAGGCGUCGACGGGUAGCCGGCCUGAGAGGGUGUACGGCCACAUUGGGACUGAGAUACGGCCCAG